AUGAACGCUGGCGGCGCGCCUAACACAUGCAAGUCGAACGGCACCUAUCUUCGGAUAGAGGCGAGUGGCGAACGGCUGAGUAACACGUGGAGAACCUGCCCCCUCCCCCGGGAUAGCCGCCCGAAAGGACGGGUAAUACCGGAUACCCCCGGGAGCCGCAUGGCGCCCGGGCUAAAGCCCCGACGGGAGGGGAUGGCUCCGCGGCCCAUCAGGUAGACGGCGGGGUGACGGCCCACCGUGCCGACAACGGGUAGCCGGGUUGAGAGACCGACCGGCCACAUUGGGACUGAGACACGGCCCAGACUCCUACGGGAGGCAGCAGUGGGGAAUCUUGCGCAAUGGGGGCAACCCUGACGCAGCGACGCCGCGUGCGGGACGGAGGCCUUCGGGUCGUAAACCGCUUUCAGCAGGGAAGAGACGAGACUGUACCUGCAGAAGAAGCCCCGGCUAACUACGUGCCAGCAGCCGCGGUAAUACGUAGGGGGCGAGCGUUAUCCGGAUUCAUUGGGCGUAAAGCGCGCGUAGGCGGCCCGGCAGGCCGGGGGGUCGAAGCGG
RNAcentral lists this ribosomal RNA (555 nucleotides) under uncultured bacterium. Its description in RNAcentral is "bacterial SSU rRNA". It matches the Rfam family "Bacterial small subunit ribosomal RNA", at positions 29 to 604 of the family's 1533-position model. The record is from RNAcentral.